RNAcentral lists this ribosomal RNA (433 nucleotides) under uncultured bacterium. RNAcentral's name for it is "partial 16S ribosomal RNA". It matches the Rfam family "Bacterial small subunit ribosomal RNA", at positions 29 to 507 of the family's 1533-position model. The record is from RNAcentral.
AACGAACGCUGGCGGCAUGCCUAACACAUGCAAGUCGAACGAGACCUUCGGGUGUAGUGGCGCACGGGUGCGUAACGCGGCGGAACCGGCCGUUAGGCUCGGAAUAACACCCCGAAGGGGGUGCUAAUACCGGAUAAUGUCUGCGGACAAAAGAUUUGGCGUCUGUGGAUGGGCCGGCGUUGUACGCACUAGUUGGGAGGGUAAAAGCCUACGAAGGCGACGAUACAUAGCUGGGCAGAGAGGAUGAUAAGCGACACUGGGACUGAGACACGGUGCAGACUCUUGCGGGAGGCAGGAGAGGCGGAUAUUGGACAACCGGCUAAAUGCUGAUGCAGCACUGCCGGGUGAGUGAUGAAGGCGUUAGGGUUGUAAAGCUCUUUUACCCGGGACGAUAAUGACAGUACCGGGAGAAUAAGCUCCGGCUAACUUCGUG